Molecule: long non-coding RNA, 280 nt
Organism: Mobula hypostoma (lesser devil ray)
Lineage: Eukaryota; Metazoa; Chordata; Chondrichthyes; Myliobatiformes; Myliobatidae
Exons: 3
Source: RefSeq, a predicted model, not a curated record
CUACGACCAAGCAGGCCGGUGCAAUUUGUAAGCGCAUAUGCUUGGGAUGGAAAGGGACACCAGAGCAGACAAAAGGAAUCCAUGUGAUUACUAGGAGAAACUUGCUGGAGGUAUCAACAGCUUGUCAUUUGAAGACUGCAAGAAUUAAGGAGAUACCACCUGGACACAGUUUUCCCAUCAGUUCCGUUCUGUGUGCCAGCAACUGUGAAAUUUUACUCUUGCAGCUUGCCAGUCUAACCCACUACCUCUCAUGUGUUGCGGCUCAGGAAGGGAAGUAGAA